UAUAGAAUGGUGAACGCAGAGAGAGGGAGUGAAGGCGUAACACCACAAAAACGGCAUCACAAGGAGCUGCGUUACCUUCCUGGAGGCAUCUGCUGCUUUCCAAAUAAUUUCUUUAGGCCAUUCAAAUACGAGUAAAACACGCCAGGCCAACUCUGAAAUCCUUUGUAGAUGGGACAUAUCUGAAAGCACGCCACUUGCUACGUGAAUGGCAGAGGAAGAGAAAAGAACUUCUCCAAAAGCCUGCUGUGAAGCCCACGUUAAGAUGAAGCAGAAACGCUUGCCUUAACGGCCAGUAUGCUCUUACAAACCUCACAGCUUGUACAGAAUAGCAGAGCUGAGCUGAUGCCAGAUAAGUGCUGGUCUGAACUCAAACAUCAAACCCCACAGCCCUGCACGGCUGAGUUAUGGAAGAGAAAACUGCAGCAAAAAACUGUGCGAGAGGAAGAAUGGCAGAACUGGUUUGUAGCCCACUUCAACAGGUUUCACACAGAUGAAAAAUAUCUCAUAAAAAAAGGUAAAUUGUUAUGCCUGGUCUUAUAGUUAUGAUCAUAAAGGUUAUUUAAAAUCUUCUUAAUUUUUAAGCCACUUCCAUGUCCUAAUCACCGAUAACUUAUUACUGAACUUAUCACUGUACAGUUAAGAGAAUCCCUAAAUGCUAAUGGUUCACAUUUCUCCCAGAGCUCGGUACAGGCAAUUCCGUGCUCAAAUUCUGUAGUAAAACUGCAGAUGCUUAGAGCAAAUGCCUACCUCCAUCCACAGGCUAGAAGCUUAUCUAAACUGGCAUCUGUUGCGUAUUCCAGCAAUUACAAACAUACUUGAAACUUGACAUUAUUGAACUCCGAAGUAAUGCUUAUUUUUAUCUAGUAAUGGAAAUGGUAAAUGAUAGCGUGGACCUCAUUAAGAUCUAAGUUUCUUAGAAUAGUGUACCUAAGAACUUCAUACAUAAGUAACAAGAUAAUUUUUUAGUACCCAUGUAUAGCAAAGACCUAAAGAGUAGAAUCCUGUCUCCAAUGAGAUCAGUGAGAAUUUUAGUAGUUGCUGCAGGGGUGCCUGGAUUCUACCCGGGAUCUCUGAGAGUGUGCUUUUUGUAUUGGCAAAUGCUUAUGUAAUGUGAUUCUGUGGAGAAAUUUAAUUAAAGAGAAAUGUGUAAAGCACUUGGCAUUAAGUGGUCUAAGUUUGUUAACAUACAGUAUUUGGAAUGAAGCCCAAAUCAGAAGCAAACGAUGCUAACUGAACUGUGAGCAUUUUGAUAAAAAUUACUUUAUGGAGA
Long non-coding RNA from Pygoscelis adeliae (Adelie penguin), 1270 nucleotides. RefSeq lists it as uncharacterized. The record is from RefSeq and is a predicted model, not a curated record. NCBI's taxonomy places the organism in Eukaryota, Metazoa, Chordata, Aves, Sphenisciformes, Spheniscidae. The transcript has 4 exons.